AGUGAUUUAAAUAACAGAAAUUUAUUAUCUCAGUUCUAGAGGCUGGAAGUCUGAGAUGAAAGUGUCAGAAGGGCUGGCUCUUCCUGAGGCCUCUCUCUGUGGUUUGCGGACAGCCACCUUCUCCCUGUGUCCUCACAGGGCCUUUCCUCUGGGCACACACAUCCCUGGUGUCUCUUUCUCUUUUCUUAUAAGGACGCCAGUCCUAUUGGAUUAGAGCCCCCUGCUUAUGACCUAAUGUAAUGUUGAUUACCUCCUCCUAUCUCCAAAUACAGUCACACUGGGGUUAGGGCUGUAGUAACUCUUGCCUGUAAUCCCAGCUACUAGGGAGGCCCAGGCACGAGGAUCACUUCAGCCCAGGAGUUCAAGUCUAGCCUGGGCAACAUAGUGAGAGGCCGUUUCCUAAAAAAAAAAAAAGGGUUUUUUCGUUUUUGUUUUUGUUUUUUUUUUUUUUUCGAGAAGGAGUCUUGCUCUGUUGCCCAGGCUGGAGUGCAGUUUCUCAAUCUCGGCUCACUGCAACUUCCGCCUCCUGGGGUUCAAGCGAUCCUCUUGCCUCAGCCUCCUGAGUAGCUGGGAUUACAGGUGCCGGCCACCACACCCGGCUAAUUUUUGUGUUUUUAGUGGAGACAGGGUUUCGCCAUGUUGGCCGGGCUGGUCUCAAACUCCUGACCUCAUGUGAUCCACCCGCCUCGGCCUUCCAAAGUGCUGGGAUUACAAGUGUAAGCCACUGCGCCCGGCCAAGAGUGAAGUUCUGAUAGCUGGGGUAAGAAAGGCCGUGGGAACAGCCGGUUUCAGACACGCUGGGUCUAAGACGCUGCGUCUGGCGCUGCUCGGCAUCCAAUGGGAGCCGUGGAGAAGCCAGGCGAGUGCGUAGGGCGGAGCCAGCGCACAGGAAAUAGGACGUGAUGAGGUCAACCGGCUGGUCCAAGUGUGGACGGAAGUAGAGGAUGCAAGCACCGAGCCCCGGGGCCCCCAGCAUUGGCGGGGAGGAGCUCGCGGUGCGGGAGAAGCAGGGGACCGCGCAUCCUGGAGACCAGGUGGAGCCAGUGCGCCCGGAAGGGGCGUGGCCCGCUGACAGCCGCCCAGGAGGCCGGGGGAGGCCUGGAGCCGAGGGCCGCGCGUGGCAAUGUGGAGAGACAUUUUGGUGGAGUCAUGGGGCCACAGCCUGAUUGGUGAGAACAGGAAGGGAAAUUGCAGAUGGGCCUGGGCCCCCUGGCUCCCGCAUACUCCAGGACCAGGGCUGAGUCAUCGUUCACCGUGUGUGACCAGGGCCCCGUGUGGCCGGCUGUCACUCGGUAUCCAGUUACCCUGGGCAGACCACUGGCGGCACCCCCCAGCCAGAGGCCGCAGCAACACACACGCCUGCAGGCGACCAGGCCGGACUGCAUGCCCCGUGGGGGAACUGAGGGCGUUUCAGUAACAGAGUGUUAGGGGACACGGGUUGGGUGGCUUGGAAAGGGCCUAAGGUGGGGUUUGUUUUAGAUUGGGGUGGUGAGGGCGCAGGGGCCCGGUAGGAUUCUCUAACAGGGCAGCAGCCACUCAUUUAGCAACAGGAGAGGCGUCCAGCGUUUCGUGGGCUGUGCGGUGACCUUGCUUUUGUGCUUAGACACGAUUACGGGUGGCCUUGCUUCAUCUCCUUCUGCCAUGGUCUCGUGGCCCCUGUCUCAGCUGGCGUUCCGGGAGGUUGUUUACGUCCAGGAGGAAAGCAAAAGCCUGGCCCUGAGCAUCAGGGUGGCUCUGGACGCCAGGGCUGUACUGUGUUCUUUCUCGACACGAAUGAGUUUCUGGACAGUUUUCCCGGCUAGUGCAGACCCACACUGACUGAAAACCGAAAUCUUUGCACAUGAGAAAAAUAACUCCCAUGGCAAGGCGUGGCGGCUCACACCUGUAAUCUCAGUGCUUUGGGAGGCCAAGGCAGGAAGAUCGCUUGAGGCCAGGAGUUCGAGGCCAGCCUGGGCAACAUAAGGAUACCCUGUCUGUACAAAAAUAACAGAUUAAAAAAAAAAAACAAAAUAACACCCAUGGUGCAGCCAUUUCUUGGGGGGUUAUGGUAAUUUUAGUAGCAAUCAUCUAAGAAGAGGUUUUGUUUCCUCAACCCGAAUGCGCUCCCUUUCCUCAAGGCUCUGAGAGCAGCAGGAAGGCUCACCUUCCUUGUUUAGUGAGGUGUUAACCUUCCUGGGUUCACCCCGGUGCAACGGUUUGUGUCAUGCAUCAACUUGGCUGGGCCACGGCGCCCGGUUUGGUCAAACGCCCAUCUGGAUGUUGUCGUGGACAGCUGUGUAGAUGUGAUUCGUAUUUAGGUCAGUAGACUUUUAAAGCUGGUGACCUUCCGUCGUGUGGGUGGGUCUUGUCCGGUCAGCCAGAGGCCUUAAGUUCAAAGACUAAGCUUUCCUGAAGAAGAAGGAAUUGCACCUCCCUCAAGACUGCAAUACAGAAACCCUGCCUGGGUAUCCAGCAUGCCGCCCUGCAGAACUUGGACUUGAGACCUCAGUCAGCUCUUGCCUGAGUCUCCAGCCUGCCGCCUGCCCUGCAGAUUUUGGAAGUGACAACCCCCACAAUUGCCCGAGCCAAUUUCUUCAAAUAAAUCUCUUUCCCUCCAUCCAUCCAUUCAUCCUUCUGUCCACCUAUCCUAUCGGCUCUGUUCUGUGGGUUCUGUUCCUCUGGGAACCCUGACAGAUGCCCCUGGUUUGGUGGGUGUCAUGGUCUCUGGUGCUGGUGCUACACCCUGUUGCUGCCCUGGCCAGAAGCCUGCAGGUGCCUCUGAGCCCACGGAAGCUAAGGGGGCCGUUUCCAAGGGGCCGCAUUCCCCGCCUCUCUGCUCUUGGGGCUUCGGUCCAUUCGGCCCGCGUGAGAGCUAGGAGUGCCACAGUCGACAUCCUCAGUGGGCCGUGCUGCUCAGGAACCAAAGGCAAACCAGCCUUGUCCUCACGCCCAGAGCUGUGUCCAGCCUCCUCGGCGAGCCUGGGUUGAUUCCAGGAGAGACUAAGCACCCACUGUGUCCCACGCCUUCAGCCACGUCGCCCGUCACCUGCGGCCUGAGUGUUCCCUUCCAGAGGGCGUGAAAAACAAUUGUCUGCUGAGAGGUCUUUGAAGGGGAAACAAGUGCCCGGGGCAGGCCAGGACCGCAGACUGGAUCUUGAGGACUGGCAGCGCAGUGUUUUGUGCAGAAAAGCUAAGGGAGAUGUUACGUGCUCAGACCACACGAAGCGGGCAGCAUCGUGGCGGGCUUAGCCCGGGCACUGCCUCUCGAAGCUUCCAGGAGCUUCCUGUAACUUUCCGGAUGGUGCCGCAGCUGCUUCCCCGGCACCCGGGUCGCCGGGGUUCUGACUGCAGAGGGUUUCUGUGCGGGGUGCGGGGUCCACUCAGGUGAAGCACUCAGGACACCCCUGGUGUGGUGACAGCAGCAGCGUCACUGUCACGGGUGAUGCGGCAACAGCUCCUCUCCCUCCUCCAGCACUGGCCUAGGAACUGUUCAUUCUUCUGAACACAGCGAAUGCCCAGGGCUUGAGCCCCCCUUGCCUGCCUCCAGUCAUUUCUGGGUCAGGUGGGCUAAGAACAAACACACAGUGAGUGUCGAGUCUUGCCCGGUGACUGACUGCAGAAGCCUCUGUGUGGCUUCGCUCCCGGAUGUCUGAAGGCCCCUCCCUGGGCUGCACGGCGGCUCCUGCGGGGCACUGCGGGAAGAGCCCCAGCUCUCCAGCUAAACCUGUGGGAUGCGGCCAUGGUGAGAAAAGGAAACGACCAUCUUCACGCUGACACUGAGCAAAGAAAAGAUAAAACUCAUAGCAAAUUUACCAUGUUAGAUUUACAAACGUUAGCAGUGGAAUAAAUCCAGAGGAAAGAACAAAAGAAAGAUUCGAGACCAGCCUGGCCAGCAGGGUGAAACCCCAUCUUUACUAAAAAUACAAAAAGUAGCCGGG
RNAcentral lists this long non-coding RNA (3917 nucleotides) under Homo sapiens (human). RNAcentral describes it as "HSALNT0274187". Lineage: Eukaryota; Metazoa; Chordata; Mammalia; Primates; Hominidae. The record is from RNAcentral.